UACGUAGGGUGCGAGCGUUACUCGGAAUUACUGGGCGUAAAGCGUGCGCAGGCGGUUGUGCAAGACAGAUGUGAAAUCCCCGGGCUUAACCUGGGAACUGCAUUUGUGACUGCAUAGCUAGAGUGUGUCAGAGGGGGGUAGAAUUCCACGUGUAGCAGUGAAAUGCGUAGAUAUGUGGAGGAAUACCGAUGGCGAAGGCAGCCCCCUGGGAUAACACUGACGCUCAUGCACGAAAGCGUGGGGAGCAAACAGG
This 253-nucleotide ribosomal RNA is filed under the name uncultured bacterium. RNAcentral describes it as "partial 16S ribosomal RNA". It matches the Rfam family "Bacterial small subunit ribosomal RNA", at positions 524 to 776 of the family's 1533-position model. The record is from RNAcentral.